Molecule: ribosomal RNA, 789 nt
Filed under: uncultured bacterium
Lineage: Bacteria
Description: bacterial SSU rRNA
Rfam family: Bacterial small subunit ribosomal RNA
Source: RNAcentral
AGAGUUUGAUCCUGGCUCAGGACGAACGCUGGCGGCGUGCUUAACACAUGCAAGUCGAACGGAAAGGCCCCUUCGGGGGUACUCGAGUGGCGAACGGGUGAGUAACACGUGGGUGAUCUGCCCUGCACUUUGGGAUAAGCCUGGGAAACUGGGUCUAAUACCGAAUAGGACCGCAUGCUUCAUGGUGUGUGGUGGAAAGCUUUUGCGGUGUGGGAUGGGCCCGCGGCCUAUCAGCUUGUUGGUGGGGUAAUGGCCUACCAAGGCGACGACGGGUAGCCAGCCUGAGAGGGUGUCCGGCCACACUGGGACUGAGAUACGGCCCAGACUCCUACGGGAGGCAGCAGUGGGGAAUAUUGCACAAUGGGCGCAAGCCUGAUGCAGCGACGCCGCGUGGGGGAUGACGGCCUUCGGGUUGUAAACCUCUUUCAGUAUCGGCGAAGCUCCAGGAUUUUUCUUGGGGUGACGGUAGGUACAGAAGAAGCACCGGCCAACUACGUGCCAGCAGCCGCGGUAAUACGUAGGGUGCGAGCGUUGUCCGGAAUUACUGGGCGUAAAGAGCUCGUAGGUGGUUUGUCACGUUGUCUGUGAAAACUCACAGCUUAACUGUGGGCGUGCGGGCGAUACGGGCAGACUGGAGUACUGUAGGGGAGACUGGAAUUCCUGGUGUAGCGGUGGAAUGCGCAGAUAUCAGGAGGAACACCGGUGGCGAAGGCGGGUCUCCGGGCAGUAACUGACGCUGAGGAGCGAAAGCGUGGGGAGCGAACAGGAUUAGAUACCCUGGUAGUCCAA